Molecule: ribosomal RNA, 672 nt
Filed under: uncultured Fusobacterium sp.
Lineage: Bacteria; Fusobacteriati; Fusobacteriota; Fusobacteriia; Fusobacteriales; Fusobacteriaceae
Description: bacterial SSU rRNA
Rfam family: Bacterial small subunit ribosomal RNA
Source: RNAcentral
GAUGAACGCUGACAGAAUGCUUAACACAUGCAAGUCAACUUGAACUUCGGUUUGGGUGGCGGACGGGUGAGUAACGCGUAAAGAACUUGCCUCACAGAUAGGGACAACAUUUGGAAACGAAUGCUAAUACCUGAUAUUAUGGUUUUAGGGCAUCCUAGGAUUAUGAAAGCUAUAUGCACUGUGAGAGAGCUUUGCGUCCCAUUAGCUAGUUGGAGAGGUAACGGCUCACCAAGGCGAUGAUGGGUAGCCGGCCUGAGAGGGUGAUCGGCCACAAGGGGACUGAGACACGGCCCUUACUCCUACGGGAGGCAGCAGUGGGGAAUAUUGGACAAUGGACCAAGAGUCUGAUCCACCAAUUCUGUGUGCACGAUGAAGUUUUUCGGACUGUAAAGUGCUUUCAGUUGGGAAGAAAAAAAUGACGGUGCCCCCAGAAGAAGUGACGGCUAAAUACGUGUCAGCGCCCGCGUUAAUACGUAUGUCACAUACGUGUUCCGAGUUUAUUGGGCGUAAAGCGCGUCUAGGUGGUUAUGUAAGCCUGAUGUGAAAAUGCAGGGCUCAACUCUGUAUUGCGUUGGAAACUGUGUAACUAUAGUACUGGAGAGGUAAGCGGAACUACAAGUGUAGAGGUGAAAUUUUAGAUAUUUUUAGGAAUGCCGAUGGGGAAACCACUUU